CAAACCUGCAUAUUCGACCGGACGGCUUCAGUCUGGUGUGUAAAGCGGGUUUAAUGGUUUCUUUUAGAGGAUUCUCUCUAUAAAAGGUCCAUAGGAGGCCCAACGGUUCUGAGAGCUUCAACAGUCCAUCCCUCUUCUCCGCGGCCUUCCGUCGUGAGUCCAUUUAAGCUUAGUUGGGGACUAUUUUCAGCGGCGGAUGAAUCCACAGCGGGUGCUCUAGUGCAACGCGGUCUCUACACAGUGAAACGUGUGUUUUUGUGCAGCGGCUUCUUUUUGUGUGACAAAGGUCACAACAGCUCAGCAGCACUGAAGGUCCCGUGUUUGUUGGGCUGUGUGAGCGUGUGGCGCUGCGUGUUGGACUGAGUCACAGUAGGCCGCGGGUGCGUGUUUGUGGUGAUGGAGACGCAGGUCACACGGUGGAAAGAAAGAGGCCGGUGUGUCAGCGGCCUUCUCCCCUCUGUACUGAUGCAGGUUUACUGUCAUCGCACCUUAGGUGGUUCUCCAUUGUCCCCGUCCACGUAACUCUGGGCUGAGCAGCAGAUCAAAGCAGCGGUCUCCACGGAGAAGCUCCAAACAAAGACCGAUACGCUCACAAUGCCGAGGCGCCAUGGACUCAGUGAUCAGCGCAGACAGCCCACCUACAGGCGCAUUACACCUCACUUCCUCCUCGUGCUUUAACCUCCGCAACAAGCAAGGGGCACUGUGGCUAAUUUAGUGUUUUUUUACAAGAGACCAAACACUUCAAACAGGACCACACACACGCACAGGCUGCCAGAGGUGUGGUGAACAUCUGGGGACAUCUGGUGGACGAGCAGGGUAGAAGCAAGCGAGGAGAGACCUGAACAAGCGAUAUGAAACACCACCGUGUCUUCAUCCAGAGGUGCUCACAUCACUCCACUGACCCAAAUUAAUUACAUAGAAUUUGAUCAAAAUCAACAAUUGAAAAAACGGAUAUAAAAAUGACAUAACAAAAUGUGUUUGGAAAAAGGACGUCAAACACACAGAUUACACAAGAUUUUGGAAUAAAUAUCAAAAUAUUAGCAGAUGUCUGUGCAGUAAAUGCAGCCUUGUAUACUUCACAUAAUCAUGAUAAAUAUUAAAGUUGUAUAGUUGUGUAAUUCCAGACUGAUAUUCUCCAUGCUGCAUAUUAAUGUGUAUCUCAAACGUUUCAUGCCUAGCUCCUAUGGAGCUAAUUACAAUAUUUGACUUCCAUUUUAAAUCUGGUCAAGGAAACAUAGUUUAAAAUCUGUUAAUGGACCUCUGAGCCUCUUGCUGUUGAUUCAUGAACAAAUGAACGAUCUCUAAACCUCUCUGUAAUUCUUCAGGUGGCCUCUAGAUGGAGCCCCCCCCCCCCCUCUAGCCCAGACUUUCCUGUAGUCCCAGAUUGGGUUUGAUCCAGCCUGCAGUUCUACAAACACCCAGCAGACGCUGAAGGAGACGACGAGGUGCUGCAGUGGGGCAGCCGAUGGUGGACGAGUUCCACCCCGAACGUUCUCUCACCUCAGAAGAAGAGCAUGAAGUGACAGCCGAGUGUCCUCUGAGCGGGAUGUUUAACCCCCCCGAAACCUUCAAUUAAUCCACUAUUAAUAAAGGAUCAAUCAUUCGGGACACCUUACAUUCAAGGGCUGCUAAUUGCAGAGUUUAUGAACAUUUAAUAACGUUACCUUUGAUACUUGUUGAGCUCAUUAACUUUUAAUCCCUGACCUCAUGCAUGAUUAAUAACUCUCUGUCUGAUCCUUUUUUUAAAUGGGGCUCAGUCUCUGACAGAUGGAUGGCCCAACCGCUGCCAACUGCUUCACAUGCAGUAUUCAAGAUGUAUGUAACACACACACACACGCACACACACACACACACACACACACACACGUGUCCCCAUCACUCCCAUCAGACAGAGGGGGAAGUGUCACGGCAGUACUCUCUACUUCUGGAUGGGAUUGAACUCUUUUCAGUUCAUCAGUAAACGGUGACACACAGAGAGCAGGCGGAUUUAAUACAAUCCCCAAAACGUUUAUUUCAAACUAAACAUAAGACAUUAUUAUUAUUUGUGGAUUCUAUCAAAUAAAAAUCAAGCGCAUCUCUUUCUCCUUUAUGACCAAAAACAUUUCUGUUUUUUGUACAUUAGAAUAAAUUCAUGAUGAAAGGAUUUAUUAAACCUGCAGCAUAACUUAUCUUAAUAGCCACUUUACAAAUCCUUAAUGACAUGGCAUGAGAUUAGACUUUGUCUUUAUAUAAUAAAAGUCAGAUGGUGAAAGAAGCUGAAGAUAAAACCACCUUUAGUUUACAACUUACUGGUUUCCUGACCAAGAAUCAAACUAAUUAGACGACUUUAAUGGAAGAAGGUUAUUCCCGUCUGACUAUUUAAAUAAAACAUUUUAUAGUGUGGUAUUGAUCAUUCAUUAACUAUUUAUACACCAUUUAAAGAGAACACAAAGCAGGAAUGAAGACUGACAAACACAUUAGACAAAUGAUCAAUUAAUGAUAUUAUCGUUCGCACAACUUUGCUUGUUUGAUUUCAUGUUAAAUCAAAAAAGCACAAAUCACAGUUGUUUGCCACUGAUUGAACCGUAUUGAGAAAGACACUUAAGUCCGAUCAUGAAGCUUCUCCUGAGACCGCUGGCGGUUUGUAACGUAUCUCCAGGCCUCAGAGUUUGAGCCCCCGACACACGGGGAGCCGCAUAGAUUAAGAUCUGCUAAUUAAAGGAAGGCUCUCAACACUCGAGUGUAUUCACACAC
Long non-coding RNA from Pungitius pungitius (ninespine stickleback), 2733 nucleotides. RefSeq lists it as uncharacterized. The record is from RefSeq and is a predicted model, not a curated record. The transcript is spliced from 3 exons. NCBI's taxonomy places the organism in Eukaryota, Metazoa, Chordata, Actinopteri, Perciformes, Gasterosteidae.